Molecule: ribosomal RNA, 423 nt
Filed under: uncultured bacterium
Lineage: Bacteria
Description: bacterial SSU rRNA
Rfam family: Bacterial small subunit ribosomal RNA
Source: RNAcentral
AAGACCUUGCGCUUUUGGAGCGGCCGAUGCCUGAUUAGCUUGUUGGUAAGGUAAAAGCUUACCAAGGCUUCGAUCAGUAGCUGGUCUGAGAGGACGACCAGCCACACUGGGACUGAGACACGGCCCAGACUCCUACGGGAGGCAGCAGUGGGGAAUUUUGGACAAUGGGGGCAACCCUGAUCCAGCCAUGCCGCGUGAGUGAAGAAGGCCUUCGGGUUGUAAAGCUCUUUCAGCCGGAACGAAACGGUUACGGUUAAUACCCGUGACUAAUGACGGUACCGGAAGAAGAAGCACCGGCUAACUACGUGCCAGCAGCCGCGGUAAUACGUAGGGUGCGAGCGUUAAUCGGAAUUACUGGGCGUAAAGCGUGCGCAGGUGGUUUUGUAAGUCAGAUGUGAAAGCCCCGGGCUCAACCUGGGAACU